Molecule: transfer RNA, 19 nt
Filed under: Goniastrea retiformis
Lineage: Eukaryota; Metazoa; Cnidaria; Anthozoa; Scleractinia; Merulinidae
Also listed under: 2 other names
Description: partial tRNA-Met
Source: RNAcentral
UGUAAGAAAGACUAAGGGA